GAUUCCACAAUGGAACAAGAGGUUUAUUGAAUGGGACAAUGUGAGAGGAAAUCUAUUUUACAACUUCAAGCAGGCUUCUGUCCACAGAGGAUGAACAAAAUUUGUUGCUGAAAGGAAAACUAAUACUAAGCAAAAGAGCCUAGAUAAAAAAGCAACAAAAUGUCACCUUUUGUAGUUCUUCACCCAUGUAUCUGUUGUAUGUGUGCACCCUGCCCUACACACAUCUUUAUGUAGCGUGUACACACAGAUGUUGCACAGAAGCACUCUUCAAACACAAAGAAGCUGAAAACAACAUAAUCCUGUCCUCUGGAAGUUCUUGCCCUCCAGAUGAGCCCAGGUCUGGGUGCUCAUGUGGUGACAAUUCCGACUCUGUGGUGACAACAUCCCUCUGGCCUAUAACAAAGACAGCUACCAGCAAAGCCAGCCAGCUGGAAUGCAGGACUUGCUGAAGGCUGUAAAAAAAAAACGCAAAACGCAAAAAUGAAAUCCCAAACCCUUGCAAGAGGAGACCUGGGUGAGACAGAGGCAUUGAGAUGGGAAACAGCUCAAGGAAAAGCAAAACAGGGACAGAGGAAGAGCACAUGCGCAAAGGAGAUGGACUCUCACAGAACAACAUAGCAUACUAAUUCAUUCUGAUCUUGCUAUUUAGUACCUGCAAAGUCUAC
Long non-coding RNA from Passer domesticus (house sparrow), 665 nucleotides. RefSeq lists it as uncharacterized. The record is from RefSeq and is a predicted model, not a curated record. Lineage: Eukaryota; Metazoa; Chordata; Aves; Passeriformes; Passeridae. The transcript is spliced from 3 exons.